GCAUAUCAAUAAGCGGAGGAAAAGAAACCAACAGGGAUUGCCCUAGUAACGGCGAGUGAAGCGGCAACAGCUCGAAUUUGAAAUCUGGCCUCGGCCCGAGUUGUAAUCUGUAGAGGAUGCUUUUGGCGCGGUGCCUUCCGAGUGCCCUGGAACGGGACGCCACAGAGGGUGAGAGCCCCGUAUGGUCGGACACCAAGCCUGUGUAAAGCUCCUUCGACGAGUCGGGUAGCUUGGGAAUGCUGCUCUAAGUGGGAGGUAAACUUCUUCUAAAGCUAAAUACUGGCCAGAGACCGAUAGCGCACAAGUAGAGUGAUCGAAAGAUGAAAAGCACUUUGAAAAGAGGGUCAAAUAGUACGUGAAAUUGUUGAAAGGGAAGCGCUCAUGACCAGACUUGCGCCGGGCUGAUCAUCCAGUGGUCUCCACUGGUGCACUCUGCCCGGCUCAGGCCAGCGUCGGCUGUCACGGGGGGACAAAAGCACUGGGAAAGUAGCUCUCUCCGGGGAGUGUUAUAGCCCUAUGCAGAAUACCCCCGCGGCGGCCGAGGUCCGCGCUCUGCAAGGACGCUGGCGUAAUGGUCAUCAGCGACCCGUCUUGAAACACGGACCAAGGAGUCGAGGUUUUGCGCGAGUGUUCGGGUGCAAAGCCCCAGCGCGUAAUUAAAGUGAACGUAGGUGAGAGCUUCGGCGCAUCAUCGACCGAUCCUGAUGUAUUCGGAUGGAUUUGAGUAGGAGCGUAAAGCCUCGGACCCGAAAGAUGGUGAACUAUGCCUGUAUAGGGUGAAGCCAGAGGAAACUCUGGUGGAGGCUCGCAGCGGUUCUGACGUGCAAAUCGAUCGUCAAAUAUGGGCAUGGGGGCGAAAGACUAAUCGAA
RNAcentral lists this ribosomal RNA (870 nucleotides) under Phialemonium inflatum. RNAcentral's name for it is "LSU rRNA". It matches the Rfam family "Eukaryotic large subunit ribosomal RNA", at positions 38 to 939 of the family's 3401-position model. Lineage: Eukaryota; Fungi; Ascomycota; Sordariomycetes; Cephalothecales; Cephalothecaceae. The record is from RNAcentral.